UACGUAGGGGGCAAGCGUUAUCCGGAAUUACUGGGCGUAAAGCGCACGCAGGCGGUUUGCCAAGUUUGGAGUGACAGUUGUUGGCUCAACCGACAAAGGACUUCAAAAAGCUGGUGAACUUGAGGACGAGAGAGGAACAUGGAACUCCAGGUGUAGUAGUGAAAUGCGUAGAUAUCUGGAAGAACACCAAUGGCGAAGGCACUUUACUGGGCUAGUUACUAACACUCAGAGACGAAAGCUAGGGUAGCAAAUGGG
Molecule: ribosomal RNA, 255 nt
Filed under: uncultured bacterium
Lineage: Bacteria
Description: partial 16S ribosomal RNA
Rfam family: Bacterial small subunit ribosomal RNA
Source: RNAcentral